Molecule: long non-coding RNA, 3674 nt
Organism: Brachypodium distachyon (stiff brome)
Lineage: Eukaryota; Viridiplantae; Streptophyta; Magnoliopsida; Poales; Poaceae
Exons: 2
Source: RefSeq, a predicted model, not a curated record
ACAUAACCCCGUCAACUAUUGAGGCUAGAAUACUUGACCCCCAAACUAUGAAACCGGAUUUUCUAACCCCUGAACUUUAAAAACCGGUCAAAUAACCCCCUAGGCGGUUUUGAACGGUGGUUUUGCUACAGUGACGGUGGUUUUGUCUUUUUUAUUUAUUAUCGCUGAACCUUGAAAAAUCAUAAAAUGAAAAAUCCAAUUUUGUUGGAUUCCACUAGAUCUACACAGUGAAUAUAUAAUAUAAUACGCUUUAGUAUAAAGUUUAUUCCAAUCAAUUAUAGAAAAGCAUAGAUAUAAAGCUAAAAAAAAACUUUGUACUAAAGUAUACAAUAUUAUAUAUUCACUGUGUAGAUCUAUUCAUGUGGAGUCCAACAAAGUUGGAUUUUCUAUUUUAUGAUUUUUCUCUGUAUUAAUAUGAUUUUAAAAAAAUUCAGCGAAAAUAAAUAAAAAGACAAAACCACUGUCACUGUAGCAAAACCACUGUCCAAAACCUCCUGGGGGGUUAUUUGACCGGUUUUACAAAGUUCAAGGGUAGAAAAUCCGAUUUCAUAGUUCAGGGGGUGAUGUAGUCUACUCUUAAUAGUUGAGGGGGUUAUGUAGACUUUUUCCACUCGCGGUGGUGGGGCUCGUGAAACGGCGGUUCCGGCGAGUCUUGGACAUCGUGGGCAGCCCUGUGGACUGCAACCGCUCCACUACUGCAGGUUAUCUCCUUCCGCAUCUUCAAAAGUCCAGGUACGAGCUAUGGCGGUGAGUCUGAACUUUACUUUUUUUUUUUUGAGGGAUUGGACUUUACUACUCGCUGGACCACAAAUGGGACCUUGAAAUGCAUUUUUUUUGUGUGGAUCUGAAAAUAGCAGUGUACUAAUGUUUGGAUCUGAAAAUAGACUUUGUAUGUAAAGAUUGUUGGUUGGAUCUGCCAGCAAAGAAGGAGAAGCGCAGUAACAUGACAUGCAGAUUAUUGUCUCAAAAAGUCAUUGUGUAAGUGAUUAGCGUAUGCAUUUCAUUAAUGAGAAUUAGUGAGACCAUCAUGCAUUAUUUAGCCCUCUCUUGUGGCCGACUUUUCUUUUACAUCUGCAGCCAUGUCUGACCUGCAUACUUUCUACUUCCUUUUGCAUAUUGAUUUCAACAGGUUUAGUGAUCACAAACAAGAAAUGAUCAUGUCGGGUUUUAUUUUUAUAUAUGAAGCUUAUAUCUAUCUAGAUUAUUUCUGCCAACUCUUCUCUGUACAAAACCAGUUGGAUGUUGGUUCAUUUCUAUUAUUUGUUCCAUUUCUAAGAUGGUUUACUUUGUUGAUGCAUUUAUGGUAAAUACACCAUGGCAUCACAAAACCAGUUGGAUGUUGGCCCUUGCUUUUUAGAUAUUCCACAUAUAUAUUCUCAGAUGUGUAUUUGAUGAUAUAUUGUCUUCUACUAUUCCUGAAAAUAGUUGUACUCCCUAUUGUGUUGUGACAUAUGUCUAGCAGCAACCAGGUUGGCAAUGCCUAUGCCACUGCUUUUGCUUAUUUCUGCAUCCUGUCCAAAAGUUGUAUUUGGGUUACCUGAUUGUUUACAAUGCUCUUCAGCGUAUAUCGUGUUAAUAUAUGUUCGCCAUUUGAGGCUACUACAUAUACUGUUUAUACACAUAAUAUCCAUCUGUAUUGCUAUCUACAAGACCUAAUCUCUAGCUGUUUUCUCAUAAAUUUCACAUAUAUUUUUUGUACAAAAAAUGGCGCGUCUGCGACUGCCACAAAAAAAAUCUACGUGCAUAGAACUCAAAGAGUCUGAACAUUUGGAUGUGAUAAAUACCACAUAUACCAGUUUCUUCCAGUCCUAUAACAGGUAAGAGCUAAAGAUCAAGAACUGGGCAAGCACCUGAGAGUAGAAUUAACUACAGUUACUCAAAGAGUCUGAACAUUUGGAUGUGAUAAAUAUCACAUAUACCAGUUUCUUCCAGUCCUAUAACAGGUAAGAGCUAGAGAUCAAGAACUGGGCAAGCACCUGAGAGCAGAAUUAAGAGUAUCAUCAACGGUCCGUUUCUACAGCCAUUACUAAGACUUCCAACUCAUCUAUUUCUCACUCAUGUUUUCAUCUCUCUCUUAAUUUAAUAUAUUUCUUAAUAGUACUUCUUGCCUUGGAUCCUACAUGCCAUACACUAUCUUUUCUUCCCUUUUCUUGGUAGGAGAGCUGGUGCCGAUACUUCUGCAAGAGACUUCACGUCACAUCAACCCUUUCCGUCUUCUUCCAUCUUAGCAAAAACGAUGACAUGUACAUUAAGUACCGGCUGGAGUUUCAUUGUUGGAGAUGCUCUAACUACAGUCCAGAGAGUAGUAAAGUCCAUUCCCUAAAAAAAAUUUACUAAAGUCCAGCAGGUAGUCAGUUCAGUUGAAUAACAAAAGUCGCAUUUUCUAUUUGUUCAAAUGUUGGCAUGCAAUCACUCAUUUCUAAACCAGGACCUGGCAUAUGCACGCAAAACUCCAGCAAACAUUCUUCAGCUGCUUUCUUCCAUCGAACAGUAGAUCAAUCACAUGCUUGUUGUUGCCUAAUUUCAGUAUACAGGACACUACAUCUACCAUAUAUGUUAACUUAUCAAUUUAUCACAUUACAAUUGAUGAGCCAAUGGUAAACUGUGUCAUGUACCAUGAACUCGGCGACGACUCUGUUUGAAGUGACUGCUGUCUUUCACUAAUGACCCGCAGUUUUACUUAACCUUAGCUAUCAUUUCAGGUAAUAUAUCCAUGUCCUAAAUGUUUUCGAAGGAACUCCUGUUUAGUUGAACUUCAUAAUAGACUGUUAUAUGGUGUGAUUGAUCAACUGUUUGAUGGAAGAAACUGUAUACUCAUCAAUGUAUAAAAUUAUUAAUCAUCAUUGACAGAACCUUAUUCUGUGUUUUAAAGAGGUCAGAGAUAGAUGUAACUGCUUUUUCAUCUAAGAGAUAAAUUAUCUUCUCUAAUAUGUUUCUUUUGAUUUUGUUGCUGUUAAUGAAGCAUGGGAGGAACCUGUCCAUUGAAGUGUGGUGGGUCUAUCUUACUAUCUAGAUCGAUGAACACGUGUAAAAAAAGGGACUACUAAGGGGACCCCUCUCUUUCUAGAGGAUUCGCGGCAUGUCAAGCCCUGGUAAGGUUCUUCGCUUUGCAUCGAAUUAAACCACAUGCUCCACCGCUUGUGCGGGCCCCCGUCAAUUCCUUUGAGUUUCAUUCUUGCGAUGUUUUUUUACUUGACAAAAGAGAAUGCAGAUCUUAAGGUUGUUUCUAUGCUGUUCCUCUAGGGAAAAGUUUGUAAGUGUUUAAAUAAAAUCAAUUUGUCCAGUAUUAGCUCAUGGACAGUGUCAUGUAUCCCUAAGGGAAGUUUAUCUUUCUCAACAUUGCUGAACAGAGGAGAAGCAAACAGAACAUUGGGAAGGUAGGAAGAUUAGGGCAGUUGGAGCCAUGGAGGUGUCUCAGGACUGGAUGAGCUACGGAGAUGCACAAUGAUCGAUUGGAGAGGGAGAAAGUGAGUGAAAGACUAGAUUUAGGUGGAGAAAUAUAUGUUCUAGGAAGAGAAAGAAUUGGAUCAAUGCAUAGUGAUCAACAGAGAGGACUAAGUGAGAGAUAUACUAGCAUUUGGUACAUAUUUGAUAGAGACAUGACAUAGCAUUGCGCUUAAUUCUUAAUUCGACAUGUGUUCUUGAAGUACAAUAAUUGGAUUUGUGUCAUUUUA